AAAGAGAUAUCCAUAAUGGAAGCCCCAGAUAACAUAUGUGAAGACCCAGAGUGCAUCAAACAAAGAAAGGAAUAGGCGAACUUGGUUUGCGGCUUGCUUGGCAAAAAUAUAUAUAGUAGAGGGGUGAAGGAGCUCGGCGGGAAUAAGCUUAGUGCCGGUAGUGCAAUACUACUUUCAAUUACAGAAUCUGAUGAUGAAGAAUAAAAGACUCUAAAAGAAACUGACUCAUAUAGAAUGCAUGUAAGCAAACUGCUUCCUAAAAGCGACUUACUUAUAUAGAAAUGAGGUAACCAAAGAGCUUAUUAAAAGCAAUGCUGUGUUGGCGCAAUAUUGCAUAUGUUAUUUAGAAAAGCAUAGAGAACUGUGAGUUACUGUAGUGAGGUUACAGUUACUAUUGCGCAAGUAUAGUGCUUUUGGUGCCUCGUGCCUCUGUCCUUAGAUUCUAUGGUGAGGGCAGCCUCAAUUCGUUCUUCUUGUUCUUUCGCUCUCUUAUGAAUUAUAUACUAGUGGUUCUUAAUACUCCUAUCAACAAGCAAGGUAAGCGCGUGAGCUUAUUGUUGUUUAGAGUUAGGUUUACUCAGUUCCAUAAGAAGUAGCACUCAAUUAGAUUCUUAUUCCAGUGUUGGGUUGGUGACUUCUUUCUAUACUGUGACAGUGCUAGCUAAAUUCAAAGCAAUGGAACAAGCAAACAAGCAUCGUUCCUAAGUGCUAACGCUUAUCUCUGGGGGUCGGGAUAGCUUCACACUGGCCCAACUGUCCCUAUAGCUAGGUUAAUGCUUGACUUUGUAGCCUGUUUUUCGACCCCUAGAAACCCCUAACGAUAGAAGACUGGAAUUCACAUUACUUGUUCAACCCACUAACGGCACUUUGGGCGAGAUCCACUAGACAAGACAGCGCUACCAACCCAACCUGACUUGAUACUUAAGCGAGCAGAGCUUCUGGAUACGAGAUUAUUACUACAGCAAACUUUCCACUCCACUACUUUGAGCUACACCCUCACAGAAUAAGUAAUAAGUGACACCUCAUAAGUAAUAAGUGCAAGAUUCCAUGAGUAUAUUGAAACUACUUCUCUUAUUUGACUUGAAUCACUCACUUUCCCCUCAUCUCCUUGCUUUCUCUCAAGAAUAGAAUCCGAACCCCCGAUUCGAUUGCUUGUUUGAGUUCUACCACAAUAGCUGCUUUCAAGGAAUGCAAUCCUUAGAUGGUAUGGCAUAGCGAAAAGUUUACACCUUCAUUAUUCUAGGUAAGAAAAUCCCCUUUAGCCUACUCUACUUUUACAUAGCAAACUAGUUGGUGUACUCCCCCUCGACGCGCUGACCCGAUGUAAGUCAAUCCUUUUGUCUCACAGAUCCAUCUUCUUUCUUUCUUAGAGCAUUAUUGAAACCAUUUGAACCUAGUCGCGUGGAAGGAGCCAGAUUACAGAUACUUUCUAUUCUCUCGACGUCUUGACCCAUACAUAGUCUGCUAAUCGAUCAACGUCUUUGAUCCUUACAAGCUUGGAUAGGACAAUAUCUCUCUGUUGUUUGUUACAUAACACUGAAUUUGUUCGUUCUUAUUACUAUGAUUCUUUCUAUUCUUAUUUCUUACUCAUUUUGCUUUAUUAUUUAUGCUGGUUUAACCUCUUCUUAUUAAUUUGUAUAUGAAUACUAGAUGAAUACUAGAUGAAUACACUGUGCCCCCGACUCUGAAAUAAGCCCUCGAGGCAAGGCGCAAAGGAAGAGAUGCUCUUCUUUGGUCUUGAACUAGCUCUCCCCGCUCGAGAGUUCAUGUUGGCGAUUCACUUAAUGAAUAGGUCCUUUGACGAUUCCCUAGCAGUGCCUGUUUGGUACCGAGCUCUUUUACGUCUUUAUUCCUUCACGCGCUAAAAUCCAAUGGGCACGAUCUGCUAAAAAGCCUUGUUUAGUUGGGUCUACAGUUUCAGUGGGUACUCACCUGCAACAUAAGUUGGGCAAAACA
This 1956-nucleotide long non-coding RNA is filed under the name Musa acuminata (dwarf banana). Its description in RNAcentral is "long non-coding RNA (MACU_LNC008404)". The record is from RNAcentral. Lineage: Eukaryota; Viridiplantae; Streptophyta; Magnoliopsida; Zingiberales; Musaceae.